Pipistrellus kuhlii (Kuhl's pipistrelle) is the source of this 169-nucleotide small nuclear RNA. RefSeq annotates it as U1 spliceosomal RNA. The record is from RefSeq and is a predicted model, not a curated record. NCBI's taxonomy places the organism in Eukaryota, Metazoa, Chordata, Mammalia, Chiroptera, Vespertilionidae. The transcript has a single exon.
AUACAUCACUGGCAGGGGAGAUACCAUGAUCAAGAAGGCAGUUUUCCCAGGGUAAGCUUAUCCAUUGCACUCCGGAUGUGCUGACACCUGGGACUACCCCAAAUGUGGGGAACUUGACUGCAUAAUUUGGGGAGGCGGGGAGAAAAAAAGUAUGGCCCAUGGGCCCCAG